AGAGCGGCGGACGGGUGAGUAAUGCCUAGGAAUCUGCCUGGUAGUGGGGGAUAACGUUCGGAAACGGACGCUAAUACCGCAUACGUCCUACGGGAGAAAGCAGGGGACCUUCGGGCCUUGCGCUAUCAGAUGAGCCUAGGUCGGAUUAGCUAGUUGGUGGGGUAAUGGCUCACCAAGGCGACGAUCCGUAACUGGUCUGAGAGGAUGAUCAGUCACACUGGAACUGAGACACGGUCCAGACUCCUACGGGAGGCAGCAGUGGGGAAUAUUGGACAAUGGGCGAAAGCCUGAUCCAGCCAUGCCGCGUGUGUGAAGAAGGUCUUCGGAUUGUAAAGCACUUUAAGUUGGGAGGAAGGGCCAUUACCUAAUACGUGAUGGUUUUGACGUUACCGACAGAAUAAGCACCGGCUAACUCUGUGCCAGCAGCCGCGGUAAUACAGAGG
This 443-nucleotide ribosomal RNA is filed under the name Pseudomonas sp. SbFT3. RNAcentral describes it as "bacterial SSU rRNA". It matches the Rfam family "Bacterial small subunit ribosomal RNA", at positions 92 to 531 of the family's 1533-position model. Lineage: Bacteria; Pseudomonadati; Pseudomonadota; Gammaproteobacteria; Pseudomonadales; Pseudomonadaceae. The record is from RNAcentral.